RNA transcript from Mus pahari (shrew mouse), 877 nucleotides. It is a transcript of the gene named CTD nuclear envelope phosphatase 1 pseudogene, with no coding region annotated. The record is from RefSeq and is a predicted model, not a curated record. The transcript has a single exon. NCBI's taxonomy places the organism in Eukaryota, Metazoa, Chordata, Mammalia, Rodentia, Muridae.
AUGCCAGUCCCCCAUUUUCCGGUUUCACUGGGCUUUCCCUUCACUGGGGGGGCUUCUGAGACACCCACUCAUCUCUGCAGCCUCUUUUACUGCUCGUUACCCCUCCCUGCGGCAGGGGGCUGCCCCCGGAAGGCUGGUGAAGCUGGGCCGCUGGGGCCCCGGGGCCUGCACGUUUGUGGCCUUCGCUGUAUUUACCUUUUGCGGAGGCAGAUCCUCAUGGUAAUUCAGUAUCGAACUGUUCAAUAUGAUAUCCUUCCCUUAUCUCCUUUGUCUGGGAAUCGACUAGCCCAGGUGAAGAGGAAGAUCCUGGUGCUGGAUCUGGAUGAAAUCCUUAUUCACUCGCACCAGGAUGGGGUUCUGAGGCCUACAGUGAGACCUGGAACACCUCCCGAUUUCAUCCUCAAGGUGGUAAUAGACAAACAUCCUAUCUGUUGUUUUGUUUUUGUUUUGUUUUGUUUUGUUUUUACAUAAGAGACUCCAUGUUGAUUUCUUCUUAGAAGUGGUAAACCAGUGGUAUGAGCUUGUGGUGUUCACAGCAAACAUGGAAAUUCAUGGCUCUGUUGUGGCAGAUAAACUGGACAAUAGCAGAAGCAUUCUUAAGAGGAGAUACUACAGACAGCACUGCACUUUGGAGUUGGGCAGCUACAUCAAAGACUUCUCUGUGGUCCAUAGUGGCCUUUCCAGCAUCGUGAUCCUGAAUAACUCCCCUGGGGCUUACAGGAGUCACCCAGACAAUGCCAUCCCCAUCAAAUCCUGGUUCAGUGACUCCAGUGACACAGCCCUUCUCAACCUUCUCCCAAUGCUGGAUGCCCUGAGGUACACUGCUGAUUUCCAAUCGGUGCUGAGCCGAAACCUUCACCAACAUAGGCUCUGGUGA